This 407-nucleotide ribosomal RNA is filed under the name uncultured bacterium. RNAcentral describes it as "bacterial SSU rRNA". It matches the Rfam family "Bacterial small subunit ribosomal RNA", at positions 355 to 776 of the family's 1533-position model. The record is from RNAcentral.
UCGAGAAUAUUCGACAAUGGGCGAAAGCCUGAUCGAGCGACGCCGCGUGCAGGACGACAGUCUUCGGAUUGUAAACUGCUUUUCUACGGGAAAAAACAAAUGAUGGUACUGUAGGAAUAAGGGGUGGCUAACUUCGUGCCAGCAGCAGCGGUAAUACGAAGGCCCCGAGCGUUAUCCGGAAUUAUUGGGCGUAAAGGGUGCGUAGGUGGUUUUGCGCGUCUGUUGUUAAAUGUCACAGCUCAACUGUGUCACCGCAAUGGAUACGGCAAGACUAGAGGGUGCGAGAGGUCUGUGGAACUCACGGUGUAGGGGUGAAAUCCGUUGAUAUCGUGGGGAACACCAAAGGCGAAGGCAGCAGACUGGCGCAUUUCUGACACUGAGGCACGAAAGCGUGGGGAGCAAAAAGG